Molecule: small RNA, 165 nt
Filed under: Arabidopsis thaliana (thale cress)
Lineage: Eukaryota; Viridiplantae; Streptophyta; Magnoliopsida; Brassicales; Brassicaceae
Description: ATSL153050
Source: RNAcentral
AUAGGGGAAGCAUACAAAAAUAAACUUUAACACACAAAAAUAACAUCUAUAUAUACAUUUUUGCAGCCAUUUUAGCAAAUAAAUUAUGGAUUUAUACUUAUUUACAAUCUAAUGCCAUUAGCAUUAAAUCUUUUUUCCAAAAUAAUUAAUUUUACUUUAAAUUUU